GAUGAAGAACGUAGCGAAAUGCGAUACUUGGUGUGAAUUGCAGAGUCCCGUGAACCAUCGAGUCUUUGAACGCAAGUUGCGCCUCAAGCCAUUAGGUUGAGGGCACGUCUGCCUGGGCGUCACAUAUCGUUGCCUGAUGCCAGUUUCCUCGUGAUGGGUGACUGUGCAGGGCGAAUGAUGGCUUCCCGUGAGCAUUGUUGCCUCAUGGUUGGUUGAAAAUUGAGUCCUUGGUAGGGAGCGCCGUGAUAGAUGGUGGUUGAGUGACGAACGAGACCCAAUCAUGUGAGACCCCUACCGAAUUUGGCCUUCAUGACCCACAUACGUCUUUGGAACGCUCAUGACGAGACCUCAGGUCAGGCGGGGCUACCCGCUGAGUUUAAGCAUAUCAAUAAGCGGAGGA
This 400-nucleotide unclassified non-coding RNA is filed under the name soil metagenome. RNAcentral describes it as "partial contains 5.8S ribosomal RNA, internal transcribed spacer 2, and large subunit ribosomal RNA". The stretch from base 1 to 122 matches the Rfam family "5.8S ribosomal RNA", at positions 35 to 154 of the family's 154-position model. The record is from RNAcentral.